RNAcentral lists this ribosomal RNA (587 nucleotides) under uncultured bacterium. Its description in RNAcentral is "bacterial SSU rRNA". It matches the Rfam family "Bacterial small subunit ribosomal RNA", at positions 337 to 916 of the family's 1533-position model. The record is from RNAcentral.
UCCUACGGGAGGCAGCAGCUAAGAAUAUUCCGCAAUGGGAGCAAUCCUGACGGAGCGACGCCGCGUGAACGAUGAAGGCAGAAAUGUUGUAAAGUUCUUUUAUACGGGAAGAAUAAGGAUAGGAGUGGAAAGCUUAUCUGAUGACGGUACCGUAUGAAUAAGCCUCGGCUAACUACGUGCCAGCAGCCGCGGUAAUACGUAGGAGGCUAGCGUUGUUCGGAUUUACUGGGCGUAAAGGGCAUGUAGGCUGUUAUCUAAGUGUGGAUUUAAAGGCAGAAGCUCAACUUCUUGCAUGGUCUGCAAACUGGAUAACUUGAGUAUAGAAGGGGGAACUGGAAUUCCACGUGUAGGGGUGAAAUCUGUAGAGAUGUGGAAGAAUACCUGUGGCGAAGGCGAGUUCCUGGUCUAUAACUGACGCUAAAAUGCGAAAGUGUGGGUAGCGAACAGGAUUAGAUACCCUGGUAGUCCACACUGUAAACGUUGUACACUAGGUGUUAGAGGAAUGUUCUUCUAGUGCCGUAGCUAACGCGAUAAGUGUACCGCCUGGGGAGUAUGCUCGCAAGGGUGAAACUCAAAUGAAUUGACGG